RNAcentral lists this ribosomal RNA (495 nucleotides) under uncultured bacterium. RNAcentral describes it as "partial 16S ribosomal RNA". It matches the Rfam family "Bacterial small subunit ribosomal RNA", at positions 28 to 507 of the family's 1533-position model. The record is from RNAcentral.
GACGAACGCUGGCGGCGUGCCUAAUACAUGCAAGUAGAACGCUGAAGGAGGAGCUUGCUUCUCUGGAUGAGUAGCGAACGGGUGAGUAACGCGUAGGUAACCUGCCUGGUAGCGGGGGAUAACUAUUGGAAACGAUAGCUAAUACCGCAUAAUAUUGACUAUUGCAUGAUAGUCAGUUGAAAGGUGCAACUGCACCACUACCAGAUGGACCUGCGUUGUAUUAGCUAGUUGGUGGGGUAACGGCUCACCAAGGCGACGAUACAUAGCCGACCUGAGAGGGUGAGCGGCCACACUGGGACUGAGACACGGCCCAGACUCCUACGGGAGGCAGCAGUAGGGAAUCUUCGGCAAUGGACGGAAGUCUGACCGAGCAACGCCGCGUGAGUGAAGAAGGUUUUCGGAUCGUAAAGCUCUGUUGUAAGAGAAGAACGAGUGUGAGAGUGGAAAGCUCACACUGUGACGGUAUCUUACCAGAAAGGGACGGCUAACUACGUG